Molecule: ribosomal RNA, 252 nt
Filed under: uncultured bacterium
Lineage: Bacteria
Description: partial 16S ribosomal RNA
Rfam family: Bacterial small subunit ribosomal RNA
Source: RNAcentral
UACGUAAGGUCCGAGCGUUGUCCGGAAUCAUUGGGCGUAAAGGGUACGUAGGCGGAUAAGCAAGUUAGAAGUGAAAUCCUAUAGCUCAACUAUAGUAAGCUUUUAAAACUGCUCAUCUUGAGGUAUGGAAGGGAAAGUGGAAUUCCUAGUGUAGCGGUGAAAUGCGUAGAUAUUAGGAGGAACACCGGUGGCGAAGGCGGGUCUCUGGGCAUGAACUGACGCUGAGGUGCGAAAGCGUGGGUAGCAAACAGG